AUGAUUUUGGUCAGUAAAGGGGCUGAGAUAAUCCGUUUGAAAAAGGAGAAGAUUGAGGAAUUUUCCGAUGAUACCACAAGAGCAAAGUUAAGCAAUCUGACAACUAAAUAUCCCAGUGAUGAUGAGCUGUGCCAAGUCUUUCUCCGGCAUAAUUCCUGGGAAAUGUUUAAGAAAGAUCUAGUGAACCAUGUGAUGCAGCCCAAGCUCAUAAAGAUGGUCUAUCCUCCACACCCGUGCCCCACGGAUGAAACCUAUGCUUCGUGGUGCAUGAAUGAAUCAGGCAUCUUGGACCUCACUCUCCUGCGCAGCGCAAAACAACUUCCCCCAAGGCAAUGCAGAUACGUUCCCACCCUCUUUGGCCGUGACAAGGAGAGCCUGCCGGUGAUUCAACCCAAAUGGAUGCAGCCGAAACUGAUUCAUGGCAUCAAUGUCUUCCGUUCCAAUUUGGAUGGCGCAUUUUAGUGAGCUCCACAAGUUUUACAAGCUAUAGCAGCACAGAGACAUUUCUGAAAGGUCAGGGAGUCAUACUUGGUGAUUCAUACAAGUGUACAUAUAUACUUACUUUCAUUUAAUGCAAUUUUUGUUCCUUUUUCAGAAAGAGUUGUUAUGCUAUCCCCCCUCUCUCUCUUUAUGAUAGAUUUGUUUUGAAUUCUGAAAUUGUUAUGUCUUAUUUUCAAUAAUAUAUUUUUUCUUUCAAAAUGUAGCAUGUGUGUGUAUAGUGCUUGUGUGUGCACACACAUCAAUAAAAUAUAUUUAUAAUUUAUUACUGAGGUGUUUCAAGAUGUUACUUAUAUUAAUGGAGCCCCCGGUGGCGCAGUGGGUUAAACCCUUGUGCCGGCAGGAUUGCUGAUGUGAAGAUUGCCGGUUCGAAUCUAACCCGGGGAGAGCGAAGAUGAGCUCCCUCUGUCAGCUCAAGCUCCCCAUGCAGGGACAUGAGAGAAGCCUCCCACAAGGAUGGAAGAAACAUCAAAACAUCCAGGCGUCCCUGGGCAACGUCCAUGCAGACGGCCAAUUCUCUCACACCAGGAGCGACUUGCAGUUUCUCAAGUGGCUCCCGACAUGAAAAAAACCUUACAUUAAUGGGCGAGACCCCUGCUCAUAAAACAAUAGAUCUUACCUGUUUCUUUUAGCUCUUCAUCUGCAGGCUUACAUCCUAAUGCAAGUAACAUGAGACCUGAAUUCCCCCUUUGUCCCAUAUUUUAAAUAAAUAGAUAAAUCAGCACUCAUGCAUUUGCAAAACCUCACUGAGAGAAUAAACAUGUCUUAACAUAUCAUACAACAGUAAAAUCAAAAAUAAUAUCAAUUCCAGUCAUUUAAUUUCUAAUGCUCCCAAAUCCUUCUGAUCUAAUUUAACUGCAGUACAGAACGUACCAGAUAUAGCUUUGGCUUUCUGUAUUAUUGCUUGGAGCUUUUGUUGUGCUGACAUCAUAGAACAAGAAUCUAGAUCAAGCAUGGGCAAACUUUGGCCCUUUGGGUAUUUUGGACCUACCGGCUGUUAAGGAAUUGUGGGAGUUGAAAUCCAAAACGCCUGGAGGGCCAAAGUUUGCACAUGCUUGAUCUAGAUAUUGGACUCCAAAUCCUAUUAAUGCCACCUAGUUUUUGCAAUGAACAGGGAUGAAGGAAGCUGUAGUCUUGCACCAUGAGGAACAUUACAGAUUUCCCACUCUUUUCACAGGCUGUUGCAAUUUGCUUGUGAAAAAUAAAGUGAAUCUCGUUUGAAGCUUGGUGUGUUCUCAGUACAAGGAUGCCUGAGAGUUAUCUUGUUGGCAUGCUUGAUGUUUAAAACCCUAAUCCAACAUCUGCGAGAAACAAAAACCUGCUCCACUCUUCCUCUAGUAAUCCAUGGGCGCAUCAAUCAUCUUAGAAUGGCUGUUAUUUUAGUUUCCUACUAAUCAGGGAGGAUGUUUCAUAGACUUGAUGCUUACAUGAAUGAGUUUAUGAUUUUCAGUCAGCUUUUGUUUUGUGGUUAUUCUAAAAGGAGAGUCUUUAGGACAUAAGGAUGUGUAAAUACAGCUGUAAUUCUCUCUCAGCUUGUGAUGUUCUUUAAUACGGUUUUUUUUUAAAGUAAACCUUAGUUCUGUUCUACAUUAAACUUCCAGAUGGCAAUUAAAUCAAUGACU
This 2120-nucleotide long non-coding RNA is filed under the name Anolis carolinensis (green anole). RNAcentral's name for it is "lncRNA (ENSACAG00000036105.1)". The record is from RNAcentral. Lineage: Eukaryota; Metazoa; Chordata; Lepidosauria; Squamata; Anolidae.